AUGACAAACCAAGACACAUGUCACAAGGGGGAAAAUGACAGCUUUACUGCUGCGGUGAUUAUAAAAACAACGCAAAUUAACCACCAAUAUGGUUAUGUAAGUAGAAUAAAACAACUUUAUUGCAUUGUAAAUUAAAGACCGUGAAUAUAUUUUAAGAGUGUCAGACCUGAGAAGCUAAAGAUUUCCCUCAAAUUGCCACUAAUUGAUAUCCUUCCAAUUUUAUUAGUCUUAUUUUCCAACCAACUGAAAGCUUAAACUACAGUUAUUUUCCCCUCUAGAAAACUUUUGUUUUGUAGGGUUGGACAUUUUCCCUAUUUAUAUUCUUUGUAAGAUUUAUUUAGCAUAAUAAGACAGUCACAUUUAAGACUUAAUCAAACCUGGCCAUUUAAACAGAAAUACUUACGAACAAUAACAUCAAUAAAAUCAAAAAGUAAAUGUCAUAUUUGAUGUUUUGUUCAAACAGCUUUUUUGUUAGUGUGUCUUAAAGUCUCAGGAAAAUACAUUGAUAAAGCUUAGCCUGAAUUUUGCUGUAUAAAAUUCUUUGUGUGCUGUGUUUUAAGUUGUCGAGCUAGGCAAAGCCAUCAGGAAUAGGUGUUCAGGCAGCGCACUGUGCAUGGCUACCGCUUAUCAGAAGCUACAGGUUAAAUCCUGAGCAUCCUCUUUUGAUUCCAACUUCAAAUAUUGCGGCAUUAGCUGAAAAUCUCACUGCUAAUACCAAAGGCAAAUUGUUGAAUACUUUUGUUUCCAGUGAAACGAUAGCCAGAUAGAUCAACUCCGAGUUUUAAAUAAAAUAGGACCAACACUACUCAUUCGUCCAAUCAAACAUGAUUAUAUUACUUAUAAAAACCUAGGACCCUAUUGUAUGCUGUAUAAUACCAAUAGUCCCAAACUAGCAGAAUCAUGUAAUUUUGCACCAGGGAAAAUGUAUUAACAAAACACAUUUCUGAAGACGAAAUUCCUGAAUAUCAGAUGGAAUGGAGUGUGUAAAAAAACUAGUGUAGGAAUAUAGUAGGAUCUCAAGAAAUAUUUGUUUAAUGGUCAGUUGAAGAAACAGAUGGCUAAAUAGCCAUAUAUUAUAUUUGAAUAUGAAAAUUGAUCUGAGUUUCCCAUGGUCAGUGUUAAGAGCAGUAAGUUCCCCAUGGUCAGUGUUAAGAGUAGUUUACUUUGAACUGGGAAAACCAGGCAACCCCACAGCUGCUUCUUGAAGUUGUAUCUUUUGGCCAAAGGGUGGAUGGCUCAUCCUUUUCGGGUUACUCUAAAGUCAGUUCCCCAUUGCAUUACUGAUAGAUAUUUCGUUCUGUACCUGAUAUUAUUCUAUACACUUGACAAAACAAAGUUGAGGCAGGUACAAAUAUUACCACAUUACAGGCAAGAAAAUUAAAGCAUAGAGAGGAUGAAAAAUAAGGCAUCACAGCUAGUAAGUGGUGUGACUGGAACUCAGCCCAGAAGUUUCAGUUCUGAAGCCAGCAAUCGUGACCACGACACUAUGGUCCGGGACUGUGCAGAGACCUGCUAGGCAUAGAUUUUAUUUUAAUGUAAAAUAUUUGAGGAUGAACAGCCCUCUAAUGUAUCAGUGCUACCCAGGACUGACAAGUAGACCUGCCUCCUAAUUAUCAGUGGGGUCACUUUGAUACUCAGGAGGCAUCUCCAGGUCAAUUUGUAUGACCCUUAAUCACCUCCCAUGACUUACCAUUCCUCUCUCUCUCCCCCUCUUUCCAGUCAGCCAAUCAAUCACCUUUCUUCAGCUCUUUACUCAUAGAUAUCUUCUGACUCCUUGCUACUCAGAGUGUGGUCUGCAGACCAGCAUCAUCAGUAUCAUGUGUGUUUGUAAGAAAUGCAGAUUCCCAGGCCAUUCCCAAACCUAAUGAGUCAGAGUUUUCCCCUUAACGAGAUCUGCAUGCAAUUCAAACAUGCAUUAAAUUUUGAGAAGCAUGGGUCUGAUACCUGUCCCCCAGACCCCCGGGCAGCUAGUGUAGAACAUUUCCUUGGUUUGGGAAGGUUCGCGUCUCCAUUCCACUCUAGGACUUACUUGUUUUCUUCAAGGAGCCCCUUUUAUGGUCCUAAACACAUGCACGUGCACACACACACACACACACACACACACACACACACACACACGCCCUUUUGGGGAAGGCGAGUUCUUCCACUUGCUCAUGCCUCCGUCCUGCCCUGGCCCUCCCCGGCUUCUCUUUCUGCCCAGCCCACCUCCCAUCCCCAGCUGAGACCACUCCUCUUUACAGCAGUAGGUCCCACUCUUGGAGAUUUCAAAGAACAGUAACAUGGUUAGGAAAGUAACUCCAGGUUGCUUUCUUUUUUAUUUUGCCAAAUAAAAGCAUUAAAAUGCAACAAGAAAACAAGCCACAAUUAACUAUAAUUAUUCAUAAUCUCAGAAUAAAGGAUAGGAUAUUUAAUUGAAUAAUUGACAGAAAAAUUGACAUUUUUUUUUGUUUUUUCUUGUUUCGCCACAGCCUGAUUAGAAGAAAAGUUAUUAAACAGCCUCACAGACUAAUAUUUAUGUAUCACUUCAGAUUUUGUAACCCUUGUCCUGAAAAUGUUGGUGGGUGGGGUCCAGACCUAUCUCUCUCUCUCCUUUGGUCACCUAUUCCAAGAAAGCUUUUAUUAUCCAAAUUGAGACAAGAGAAGUGACUUCCUAACAAUUACUUCCCAAUAUGCCGUACUCGUUAAUGAAAGUUGGCUAUUUCCUGUAUGAAAAUGUCACAUUCAUGUUUGCCCUUAAUAGUUUUUGAGAUCAAGCAUUUUUAUCUCAUUUUAUCACACCAAUGAAAAGGCAGCCAGUUUUAUAAAGAGGAGCUACACAGAGGAAAAAGUACUGAAGUAUGCAAAAGGACAGAAGCCUGGAAGUUCAGCUGUUUGCUGGAUGAACAGGAAGCCGUUCUUAGUUACAUCAACUUAACAAAUAUUUGGAAGAAUGUUGACCAUGACCUCCAGACUCCAUGAGAGUCCCCAUCACCCACUUAUUAAUAUUUUCCCUCUCACUUGCAGUGCAGUCAGGAGAACCACAUCUGUUUGUUCACUGUGAGAUUCUCCUCAGGACCUAACACAAAAAUAGUAAAGAUUAAUUGCAGUAAUUCAUAGUAAGAGUUCCCGUCGUGGCGCAGUGGUUAACGAAUCCGACUAGGAACCAUGAGGUUGCGGGUUCGGUCCCCACCCUUGCUCAGUGGGUUAAGGAUCCGGCGUUGCCGUGAGCUGUGGUGUAGGUUGCAGACGCGGCUCGGAUCCGUGUUGCUGUGGCUCUGGCGUAGGCCGGUGGCUCCAGCUCCGAUUCGACCCCUAGCCUGGGAACCUCCAUAUGCCGUGGGAGCGGCCCAAAGAAAUAAC
Molecule: long non-coding RNA, 3339 nt
Filed under: Sus scrofa (pig)
Lineage: Eukaryota; Metazoa; Chordata; Mammalia; Artiodactyla; Suidae
Description: lncRNA (ENSSSCG00000061704.1)
Source: RNAcentral